RNAcentral lists this ribosomal RNA (520 nucleotides) under uncultured Glomus. RNAcentral describes it as "SSU rRNA". It matches the Rfam family "Eukaryotic small subunit ribosomal RNA", at positions 569 to 1091 of the family's 1831-position model. The record is from RNAcentral. Lineage: Eukaryota; Fungi; Glomeromycota; Glomeromycetes; Glomerales; Glomeraceae.
AGCAGCCGCGGUAAUUCCAGCUCCAAUAGCGUAUAUUAAAGUUGUUGCAGUUAAAAAGCUCGUAGUUGAAUUUCGGGGUUAGUAGGUUGGUCAUGCCUCUGGUAUGUACUGGUCUCACUGAUUCCUCCUUCCUGAUGAACCUUAAUGCCAUUAAUUUGGUGUUUUGGGGAAUUUGGACUGUUACUUUGAAAAAAUUAGAGUGUUUAAAGCAAGCUAACGCUUGAAUACAUUAGCAUGGAAUAAUGAAAUAGGACGUUCGAUCCUAUUUUGUUGGUUUCUAGGAUUGACGUAAUGAUUAAUAGGGAUAGUUGGGGGCAUUAGUAUUCAAUUGUCAGAGGUGAAAUUCUUGGAUUCAUUGAAGACUAACUACUGCGAAAGCAUUUGCCAAGGAUGUUUUCAUUAAUCAAGAACGAAGGUUAGGGGAUCGAAGACGAUCAGAUACCGUCGUAGUCUUAACCAUAAACUAUGCCGACUAGGGAUCGGAUGAUGUUAAUUUUUAAUGACUCAUUCGGCGCCUUAC